UCUACUUUGUACAUCUCAAAGAAACAAGGCCAGUUUGACCACCUCUCUUUUACUGCAUAAAAAAGAUACAGAUAAAUCAGUAGUAACUAAACUACAAAUACUAACCUUGAAUAUGAAUCAAAACACAAAGAAAGCUUGAGAUUUGACUGAAAGUUACUGCUCGGCUCUGGACGCAGGAACAUGAUGUCACAGCCAGGUAUGAUCACACACUGUAUGCCUGUCAUCAUACCUAAUAUUGUAUAUAUUUGUAAAAAAGUUUUUGUACAGGCAUUUUAGUAAAUUUAUGUUCAUGCAGACGGCCCCUAGGUCCCCACGCACCAUCCAGUCCAAAGUUCUGAUCCUGACGUCACUGUAACAUCGACCAUCUGUGCUCCAUGCUGUGUUCAAUGGUAACGGACCGUCAGUGUGUUUUUUAAUUCAGCUAUGCUGCCAGAUCCUGAAGACAGACUACAGAAAAGCCAGUUGCCCAGGUAAAGCAGGUACGACUUAUUUUAGUUAUUUUUAAACUCACUGGCUCAUUAUGAUGAAAUCUACUCUGUACAUCUCAAAGAAACAAGGCCAGUUUGACCACCUCUCUUUUACUGCAUAAAAAAGAUACAGAUAAAUCAGUAGUAACUAAACUACAAAUACUAACCUUAAAUAUGAAUCAAAACACAAAGAAAGCUUGAGAUUUGACUGAAAGCAAAGUGGCUUUAAGUUACAUUCAAAAGCUAAUUUUAUCAUUUUAAAAUUAAGGUUUUUAUUUCAUUGCAUUCACUGUGUAGUUUUUAAUUUUAACUCUUAUUAUGCAAAAACGUUUAAGAUGAAGACAUAUGAAGAUAUAUAUGUCGUUCAGGUGAAGGGUAAGGAAAGAUAUGAAAUGUUGAAGAAAAUAAACGACAGUUUGGAAGUUAGCGACGUUAUGCCUCCAUGUGACUUGGACAAAUACAGACAGAAACUGAGUCUAUCGGCUCAAACAAGUCUGUAUUUUCACCUCCCAGUCCACUCAGAACCUGUGGAGGUGUGCGUACAACAGCCAGGCAACUUAAAACUAGGAAACAACAGGAAUGGUAAAAGAUGGAUGUGUCUGCUUUUAACUCCAUGUCACAAAGCUGACAGGUCAGUAAAAAUUCAAUGUUUUUGUUUGAGUUCUAUUCUGAGAAAAUUGUUGUGGCUGCGUGGUGUGUCCUUUUUUAUUUCGGCUCCCAUGUUAAUAGGUUUGAGCUUGCACACUGCCUGCGAUCUUAGGCUGCAACAUCAUUCAAAUGGAAUAUGCGCUCUUUCAGCAGUCGGACUGACUGAAGGAGAUCUGACCAUGCAGGUUCUGGAGCUUUCUGAGGGACCUUUUUGGGCUAAUGAAGCAGAUGAUGAACUUUCAGAGGAACACAGUGACGGCGUGCCCUCGAAGACCGUCUCAGCCUAACGCACCGGAUGUAGGACAGACAUGCUGUCUGGCCACACAACCAGGUAUGAAUAUAGUUCCAUUGUUUCCAAGGCAUCAAAUUCUUGAAUGGUCACUGCUUACAGGAAAUAAGUGAUUGGACAUGCAAAACUAUGCCAAUUUUUACCUCAAUUCAUAGAGAAAUUAACCUCAAUAUAAGGACAAGUACUGGCCCACGGACCUGACGGACCUCAGCCAAACUGCCAUGCUUUAGGUAAUUAGAAUUUUAUUCAUUUGGACUCACAGUUCUGAUGAUGAAAUCUACAUUCUGCAUGUAAGUGGUAUCUGUGCUUUAGCUCUUGGGUCUCUGUGCAUCAGCUCAGCCAGCCACACAGCAGAAAGAGGAGGCGCACCAGCCCAUGUGCUUAAAGCACUACUGGUCCCAGGAGAUAGCAGAGCUUCCUCGACCCAUCCAGCAUCCAGGUGAGUCUUUAGAAAUGAAACAAUUCAUUCUAACACAAUGUCUGGUUUUCAGUGAGUCGGAGAAGAUAGUGUCUGAAAAGAAGCCCGCAGGAACGGUGUCUCCGACAGGAAGUCCCACUCCAGCAGCUCCGCCCUCAUCAGUGCAACACAACACAAUGGCUAGACACCUGGGUGUGGACAGACACUUCCAUGCUCCGUAGAGCCAUCUGGAACUAUAUUCAGUGCAAGUUUGGGAUUCGGUAAGUCUCUUCA
Long non-coding RNA from Cyprinus carpio (common carp), 2095 nucleotides. Lineage: Eukaryota; Metazoa; Chordata; Actinopteri; Cypriniformes; Cyprinidae. The record is from Ensembl.